CCGUAAAAUCCCGAGGUUGGUGCUCGCGGUGUGGUUCACAUGCCGCAGUUCAACGGGAAGCAGGGAGGCGUGCCACGCAUGGCACGCCGAGCCUGCGCUGCCCCCGCAACGGUCAGCGGACGAAUCACCCGAUUCUCUCUCCAUCACAAGCCACUGUGCGCCUUGAACAAGCGUGUGGGAAGGCGUUGGAGGGCGUUCCGCCAGCCCGGAUACCGGCCAACACGGUGGCUGCGCC
This 235-nucleotide non-coding RNA is filed under the name Acidovorax sp. Lineage: Bacteria; Pseudomonadati; Pseudomonadota; Betaproteobacteria; Burkholderiales; Comamonadaceae. The record is from RNAcentral.